This 780-nucleotide ribosomal RNA is filed under the name marine metagenome. RNAcentral's name for it is "bacterial SSU rRNA". It matches the Rfam family "Bacterial small subunit ribosomal RNA", at positions 8 to 833 of the family's 1533-position model. The record is from RNAcentral.
AGAGUUUGAUCAUGGCUCAGAACGUACGCUGGCGGCACGCCUAACACAUGCAAGUCGAACGAAGUAGCAAUACUUAGUGGCAGACGGGUGAGUAACAUGUGGGUAUCUACCCUUUGGCCUGGAAUAACACGAGGAAACUUGUGCUAAUACUGGAUAAGUCUUUACGGAGAAAGCUUUAUGCACCAUUGGAUGAGCCUGCAUUUGAUUAGUUUGUUGGUGGGGUAAUGGCCUACCAAGACUGUGAUCAAUAGCUGAUUUGAGAGGAUGAUCAGCCACAUUGGGACUGAGACACGGCCCAAACUCCUACGGGAGGCAGCAGUGGGGAAUCUUGCACAAUGGAGGAAACUCUGAUGCAGCGAUGCCGCGUGAGUGAAGAAGGCCCUUGGGUUGUAAAGCUCUUUCGUCGGGGAAGAAAAUGACUGUACCCGAAUAAGAAGGUCCGGCUAACUUCGUGCCAGCAGCCGCGGUAAUACGAAGGGACCUAGCGUAGUUCGGAAUUACUGGGCUUAAAGAGUUCGUAGGUGGUUGAAAAAGUUGGUGGUGAAAUCCCAGAGCUUAACUCUGGAACUGCCAUCAAAACUUUUCAGCUAGAGUAUGAUAGAGGAAAGCAGAAUUUCUAGUGUAGAGGUGAAAUUCGUAGAUAUUAGAAAGAAUACCAAUUGCGAAGGCAGCUUUCUGGAUCAUUACUGACACUGAGGAACGAAAGCAUGGGUAGCGAAGAGGAUUAGAUACUCUCGUAGUCCAUGCCGUAAACGAUGUGUGUUAGACGUUGGAAAUUUA